Molecule: ribosomal RNA, 934 nt
Filed under: uncultured bacterium
Lineage: Bacteria
Description: bacterial SSU rRNA
Rfam family: Bacterial small subunit ribosomal RNA
Source: RNAcentral
AACUGCUUUGAAGGGGAGUAAAGUGAGUGACUGUCAUCAUUGCAAGUACCCUUGGAAUAAGGACCGGCUAAUUCCGUGCCAGCAGCCGCGGUAAUACGGAAGGUCCGGGCGUUAUCCGGAUUUAUUGGGUUUAAAGGGAGCGUAGGCUGCCCGGCAAGCGUGCUGUGAAAUACAGUGGCCCAACCACUGGACUGCAGCGCGAACUGUCGGGCUUGAGGGCGCACGACGCAGGCGGAAUUUGUGGUGUAGCGGUGAAAUGCUUAGAUAUCACGAAGAACCCCGAUUGCGAAGGCAGCUUGCGGGAGCGCGACUGACGCUGAAGCUCGAAAGUGCGGGUAUCAAACAGGAUUAGAUACCCUGGUAGUCCGCACGGUAAACGAUGGAUGCCCGUUCUGCGGCCUUCGGGUCGCGGGACCAAGCGAAAGCAUUAAGCAUCCCACCUGGGGAGUACGCCGGCAACGGUGAAACUCAAAGGAAUUGACGGGGGCCCGCACAAGCGGAGGAACAUGUGGUUUAAUUCGAUGAUACGCGAGGAACCUUACCCGGGCUUGAAUUGCAGACUAAUGCGGCGGAGACGCCGCAGUCCUUCGGGAAGUCUGUGAAGGUGCUGCAUGGUUGUCGUCAGCUCGUGCCGUGAGGUGUCGGCUCAAGUGCCAUAACGAGCGCAACCCCUGUCUCCUGUUGCCAUCAGGUAAAGCUGGGCACACUGGAGAGACUGCCGCCGUAAGGUGCGAGGAAGGUGGGGAUGACGUCAAAUCAGCACGGCCCUUACGUCCGGGGCUACACACGUGUUACAAUGGCCGGUACAGAGGGAUGGUGCCCCGCAAGGUGCAUCGAACCUGAAAAACCGGUCCCAGUUCGGACUGGGGUCUGCAACCCGACCCCACGAAGCUGGAUUCGCUAGUAAUCGCGCAUCAGCCAUGACGCGGUGAAU